This is a non-coding RNA of Pelobates cultripes (western spadefoot toad), 206 nucleotides long. NCBI's taxonomy places the organism in Eukaryota, Metazoa, Chordata, Amphibia, Anura, Pelobatidae. The record is from the annotation of a GenBank genome assembly.
CUCAAAAAUGGUGCCCAUCACUGAUAAGGGAAGGUUCUAUGCUUUUGGAAGAGUCUUCUCUGGUGUUGUCUCCACUGGCCUCAAAGUCAGAAUUAUGGGAUCAAAUUAUACUCCAGGAAAGAAAGAGGACCUUUACCUGAAGCCUAUACAGAGGACAAUCCUGAUGAUGGGGCAUUAUGUGGAGCCAAUUAAAAACGUUCCAUGUG